RNAcentral lists this RNase P RNA (344 nucleotides) under Bacillota bacterium. RNAcentral describes it as "RNase P RNA component class A". It matches the Rfam family "Bacterial RNase P class A". From Rfam's summary of the family: Ribonuclease P (RNase P) is a ubiquitous endoribonuclease, found in archaea, bacteria and eukarya as well as chloroplasts and mitochondria. Its best characterised activity is the generation of mature 5'-ends of tRNAs by cleaving the 5'-leader elements of precursor-tRNAs. The record is from RNAcentral. RNAcentral also lists the same sequence under 2 other names. Lineage: Bacteria; Bacillati; Bacillota.
UAAGUUGACCGGGUGAUCGCAACUAUUAUUAUAGUUGAGGAAAGUCCGAGCUCCAUAGGGUAGGAUGCUGGAUAACGUCCAGUGGAGGUGACUCCCAGGAAAGUGCCACAGAAAUAAACCGCCUGUUAAUUUUUUAGCAGGUAAGGGUGAAAAGGUGAGGUAAGGGCUCACCAGUGUUCAGGUGACUGAACUGCUAGGUAAACCCCAUCUGGAGAAAGUCCAAAUAGAGAGAACUAAGGUGGCCCGCCUGUUCUCCGGGUAAGGACGCUGGAGAUAUCAGGUAACUGAUAUCUUAGAUAGAUGAUCAUCCCAGACAGAACUCGGCUUACAGGUCAACUUAUUCU